This 342-nucleotide ribosomal RNA is filed under the name Triticum aestivum (bread wheat). Its description in RNAcentral is "partial small subunit ribosomal RNA". Lineage: Eukaryota; Viridiplantae; Streptophyta; Magnoliopsida; Poales; Poaceae. The record is from RNAcentral.
AUGGCAAUGGCACCCUCAGCAUCCGUGGUUUCCUUCUCCGCCCGCCCGUCCGCCGCGCUCCGGCCGCGCGCCGCCUCCGUCACGGCGGGAGCUGGUGGGCGGGUCCGCGCUGGGGCGCCCAAGGGAGGCAAGUGGUGGGCGCCACUGGUCGGGUGGUCUGGACGGGCGGACUAUAUGGAGGCCGCGGCGCCGACGCCGGUGGUCGAAGUGGAGGAGAAGACGUUCGUCGGCCUGACGGAGGAGAAAGCGAGGCAGCUGCGGGCUCGGAUGUCGGGGAUGGAGAGCUUCCACGACGCCAUGUACCACUCCGCCAUCGCGUCCCGCCUCGCCCGCUCCACCUAG